CAAUGACAUGUAGAACCCUCUUUGCCUACUCCAACCCCUCCUUUUCCCCCGUCCCACUCUUAUCGCCAUGGUAACCCAUUGGUAUGAGCCUGUGUCUAAACAGGAAGCCUUGGUUAGUUUUAGCCCGUCUCCCAACCAAGCCCUACCCUGCUGCAGGGAGGAGGGAAGGAGGGGGAGGUGAGAUACAUCCCUACCCUGCUGCAGGGAGGAGGCAAGGAGGGGGAGGUGAGAUAUAUCCCUACCCUGCUGCACGGAGGAGGGAAGGAGGGGGAGGUGAGAUAUAUCCCUACCCUGCUGCAGGGAGGAGGGAGGGGAGGUGAGAUAUAUCCCUACCCUGCUGCAGGGAGGAGGCAGGGGGAGGUGAGAUAUAUCCCUAACCUGCUGCAGGGAGGAGGCAGGGGGAGGUGAGAUAUAUCCCUACCCUGCUGCAGGGGGGAGGCAGGGGGAGGUGAGAUACAUCCCUACCCUGCUGCAGGGAGGAGGCAGGGGGAGGUGAGAUAUAUCCCUAACCUGCUGCAGGGAGGAGGCAGGGGGAGGUGAGAUAUAUCCCUACCCUGCUGCAGGGGGGAGGCAGGGGGAGGUGAGAUACAUCCCUACCCUGCUGCAGGGAGGAGGCAGUGGGAGGUGAGAUAUAUCCCUACCCUGCUGCAGGGAGGAGGCAGGGGGAGGUGAGAUAUAUCCCUACCCUGCUGCAGGGAGGAGGCAGGGGGAGGUGAGAUAUAUCCCUACCCUGCUGCAGGGAGGAGGCAGUGGGAGGUGAGAUAUAUCCCUACCCUGCUGCAGGGAGGAGGCAGGGGGAGGUGAGAUAUAUCCCUAACCUGCUGCAGGGAGGAGGGAAGGAGGGGGAGGUGAGAUACAUCCCUACCCUGCUGCAGGGAGGAGGCAGGGGGAGGUGAGAUAUAUCCCUACCCUGCUGCUGGGAGGAGGGAGGGGAGGCAGGGGGAGGUGAGAUUCAU
This is a long non-coding RNA of Oncorhynchus keta (chum salmon), 956 nucleotides long. RefSeq lists it as uncharacterized. The transcript has 3 exons. The record is from RefSeq and is a predicted model, not a curated record. NCBI's taxonomy places the organism in Eukaryota, Metazoa, Chordata, Actinopteri, Salmoniformes, Salmonidae.